RNAcentral lists this ribosomal RNA (497 nucleotides) under uncultured bacterium. Its description in RNAcentral is "partial 16S ribosomal RNA". It matches the Rfam family "Bacterial small subunit ribosomal RNA", at positions 28 to 507 of the family's 1533-position model. The record is from RNAcentral.
GAUGAACGCUGGCGGCGUGCCUAAUACAUGCAAGUCGAGCGAACAGACGAGGAGCUUGCUCCUCUGACGUUAGCGGCGGACGGGUGAGUAACACGUGGAUAACCUACCUAUAAGACUGGGAUAACUUCGGGAAACCGGAGCUAAUACCGGAUAACAUGUUGAACCGCAUGGUUCAACAGUGAAAGACGGUCUUGCUGUCACUUAUAGAUGGAUCCGCGCCGCAUUAGCUAGUUGGUAAGGUAACGGCUUACCAAGGCAACGAUGCGUAGCCGACCUGAGAGGGUGAUCGGCCACACUGGAACUGAGACGCGGUCCAGACUCCUACGGGAAGCAGCAGUAGGGAAUCUGCCGCAAUGGGCGAAAGCCUGACGGAACAACGCCGCGUGAGUGAAGAAGGUCUUCGGAUCGUAAAACUCUGUUAUUAGGGAAGAACAAAUGUGUAAGUAACUAUGCACGUCUUGACGGUACCUAAUCAGAAAGCCACGGCUAACUACGUG